UAUGUAUUUCGUGAUGAUGGCAAUAAUUACUGAUAAAUAAAUAAUAACUAAUAAUUAGUGAUAACUGAUAAGUUUUCAAAAGAUAUCAAUUAUAUUUUUAUUACAAUAAAUUGUAGGACUUGGGUUUAAUGGUUAUUCGUAUUUCUAAAAUCAUUAAUACAUCAGAACAAACAAAAAAAAAUUUAUAUCAAUAUCAAGGUCUAAAAACUAGAAAAAAAAUGUUACAAAAAGAUGUGAAAUUGGAUAACACAAGCAAAACAUGGGUUUUAAAGAAACAUAUCGAUUUUUUACAAUCAUUUGGCAAAGAAAGACAUCAAUAUGAAAGUAGUAUGAUGGAAUUUCUUCGUAUGUCUGGUAUGUACUGGGGUUUAACUGCAUUAUAUCUAAUCAAUGAUGGAAAAAUACCAAAAGAAGAUGAAAUAUUUGAAUAUAUUAAAAGUUGUGAACAUAGUUGCGGUGGAUAUUCACCAGCCCCUGGUCAUGAUCCACAUUUAUUGUAUACACUCAGUGCGGUUCAAAUUGCUUGUUUGCUUAAUCGAGAAUUGGAAUUACCAAUUGAAAAGAUUGUGUUGUAUGUAUCUAAACUUCAACAAGAUGAUGGCAGUUUUACUGGAGAUAAAUGGGGAGAAAUAGAUACCCGUUAUUCAUUUUGUGCAUUAGCAUGUUUAUCACUUUUAGGUAAACUAAAUGAGAUUAAUUUAGUUAAAGCCGUAGAGUUUAUAAAAAGCUGCCAAAAUUUUGAUGGAGGUUUCGGAUCACGACCCGGAGCUGAAAGUCAUGGCGGCUUAAUCUAUUGUUGUGUUGGAUCAUUAUCUAUUGCUGGACGAUUAGAUUUAGUUGAUGCUGACACAUUGGGCUGGUGGUUAGCUGAAAGGCAAUUACCAUCUGGCGGACUAAAUGGACGCCCUGAAAAAUUACCAGACGUUUGUUAUUCAUGGUGGGUGUUUUCAACAUUAAACAUUUUAGGACGUGACCAUUGGAUUGAUAAAGAAGAAUUAAAAACUUUUAUUUUAGCAUCUCAAGAUAAUGAAGGAGGUGGAUUCAGUGAUCGUCCUGGAGAUGAACCAGAUCCUUUUCAUACUCUUUUUGGUCUUGCAGCAUUAUCACUAAUGUCAUAUGAUAAAAUUUUACCAAUAGACCCUACUUAUUGCAUGCCAAAAGCAGUUAUUAACCGACUGGGAUUAAAACCUCAAAUUUUGUCCCGACCUUAAAACGCAACUCAUUGACAUUGUGUAUUUGGCAAUAUCUGGCAUAGUGACAUGUCAGUUAUGUUCCCUGUAUCCAAAAAUUCUGUUUUUAACCAUUAUAAUGCGCUAAGAGUAUGGAAUGUUGAAUGUAUCA
This 1341-nucleotide unclassified non-coding RNA is filed under the name Rhopalosiphum maidis (corn leaf aphid). RNAcentral describes it as "geranylgeranyl transferase type-2 subunit beta-like, transcript variant X2". Lineage: Eukaryota; Metazoa; Arthropoda; Insecta; Hemiptera; Aphididae. The record is from RNAcentral.